This 207-nucleotide long non-coding RNA is filed under the name Elaeis guineensis (African oil palm). Its description in RNAcentral is "long non-coding RNA (EGUI_LNC059299)". Lineage: Eukaryota; Viridiplantae; Streptophyta; Magnoliopsida; Arecales; Arecaceae. The record is from RNAcentral.
AAAAUAUAGGAGUACAUUUCACUGAACGUGACCAACUCCGGAGCACUCUGCUGUCAAGAGUCACUCCGAAGGGAUAUUGGUAUAAGUGUCUCUCCGAUCUGAGAUCACCAUAGUGACUUGCAAGCAACUCACUAUGCUUUGGUGUCGGACUACCUAAAUUUUUAAUUCAGCGAUGAAAGAUUUCUGAGCAUAAUCAAAUACUUGUGA